Molecule: ribosomal RNA, 253 nt
Filed under: uncultured bacterium
Lineage: Bacteria
Description: partial 16S ribosomal RNA
Rfam family: Bacterial small subunit ribosomal RNA
Source: RNAcentral
UACGUAGGUGGCAAGCGUUGUCCGGAAUUACUGGGUGUAAAGCGCGUGUAGGCGGCAGACCAAGUCGGCGGUGAAAGCGCCCGGCUCAACUGGGCGAGGUCCGUGGAAACUGGUCAGCUGGAGGACGGUAGAGGCGAGUGGAAUUCCCGGUGUAGCGGUGAAAUGCGCAGAUAUCAGGAAGAACACCUAUGGCGAAGGCAGCUCUCUGGGACGGUACUGACGCUGAGACGCGAAAGCGUGGGGAGCGAACAGG